AAAAAAAUACUAGCUGUUACUCAGCGUCGUCAGUGUUUCCUUUUUUAAAGCUCUCUGCCAGCAAAGGUAAUUAGAUUACAGAGGAUUCUCUUAUUUAAAGACUUGAGUAAAAGCUCUGCUGUUUAUUUUUGGAUUAUCCAGAAAUAACAACGACGAAAGCUUCCAGAGGCACUAGUGGCCUCUAAUAGAAGUUACCCUUACCCUGUGGGACAGUUUUGUGUGGCAUAACUUAGUGGGUCAGCUAAGUUAGUGGUCUUUCUGCACCAGUGAGCUGGGAUCUCAUUUGAAUCGGUCCUGCUAGACUUGCUGAGCCAAGAGGCUGUCUGUUUGCACGGCCGCUGAUCAUGUCCCUCAGACUGCUGCCUGCUAUCGUGAUGGAAAACGACGAAGAUGAUGAUGGGAACUUCACUAACUGGAUGAGUAGUUACUGGGGUCACGGAUCAGAUUCUGGACAUUCCAGAGAAAGGAAACGCAGUUUCAGACGGCCUUCGAAAACACAAGUUGAUCGGAGAGCAUCACUCCCCACUGUGACACAGUUAGAUGCCAUGAAGCUGAACAGGAUCCACACAGCGUCCAAGGCGGCCAUUCCUAAAAGGAGGGAGGAGAAGGGGGAGGUAAGGCCCCAUCAGAGGGUACAUAGGAUCUCCUCGGAUGAAAGCCGGCCCAACACGGCUAUCCCAGAGAGCCGCAUCACACCCAUCCCAGAGAUCACAGAGUCCUUCCAGAGAAGGCUGUGCCUCAAUGAAAAGAGAACCAUGUCACUGAGCGAUAAAGACAAGGUGUUCCUGAAUUGUCAUGAAGAUCUGUGUAAAAGUGGAGAGAGACUUCAAGAACUACAGUGCACACAUCGCUUCCACAAAGAGGAAACCCGGAUGUUAGAGCAGAGUGUGCCACGCAGAAGAAGCGACACCGCAGCUUGUAUGUUCAGGAGGCUCUCGGAUGAGCGACGAAACUCUGCAGAUGGAUCCAUUUUCCCAACAAGGGAUCUGCACACCCCACAGCGUCAGCUUUCCUUGCGAAGACAUCGCUGAGACCUCUCAGUACAAGGGUGCCAUCUUUAAACAAACUAUUUUAAAUGUUUUCUCCGAACAUCAAGAUUCCUCCUUUGUCAUAAACAACAGUGUGGUUUCCUGAAAACUGCCCUUGCAUGGAGCAGUGGCUGUGGAUGAGACAGACAUGCCCAACAUGCCGUGUCCACAUCUCGGUGAUGAGGCCUCUCUACUGUACUUCGUCUCGUACCACUGUCCCAUGAGGAUGUAAUGCCUGCAUCUUACCUCCAGCACAUUGCAAUUACUCCUUCCAGUGCAUGACAACCCUGUUCUAGACCUUCUUCUUGUCUUAGAACAACAAGGACCUUCCAGGAGAAAUGCAGACAGACUUUAUCACAUACAACCAAUUACUGAGCUCUGAGAAGACAAUGACAAACUGCUCGAUUUGAUUCGGGUUUGAGCGUUGACCUUCACAUAAUAACUAAAGGAAACGCCCAGGGAACUCAGCUCCAGACAACAGGCAGUGUUGUAUUUAAACAAACUUCUAAAGGAAUGCCAAUUCGCUAAGGCUUCACCUCAACGUACAUCUCUAAAAACAGAGGACUGAGUCGGAAACAUUUUAAUUUGGAUGUGUUAAUAAUGCAGCUUAACUCAACAAUGUUGCAUAAUAAAUUCAAAACAGCAUAUUUUAUUCUAUUGUUGUUCAUUGUUACCCACAGACAAAUUAAAAAGGCAUUAACACUUGACAAUCAGUUCAAUUAGAUCCGUAAAACCCUAAAUUAAUAUUCCAUUAUUUCCCAUCAUAAGAACAUACAUUUCACCAAUAUAUUCCAAAAACAUCCCUUAGAGAUAAAAAAGGGGUAUUUUUUUAAUUAAUUAAUUAAUAUUUUGCAUUAGACACAAGAAGGGGCUUUCAAAUACUUUUCAAAUCUAAUUUCCAAUCUACACUGCCUCCCUUCCUUAGCCUUAAAGCCAGCUGGAACAGCAGAGGAGCGUUGGGUGUGUCCAACCUGCACCGGCUUGCCGCAGGUCAGAGUAGCUAGUGGGACUAAGAAAAUAAAUGAUGGGCAUCGCCAACUUUCUAAGCAGUUUCUUAACAUGUAGAGCUACGUCUGCCAUCAUCUCUAAGCUUUUAAAGACAACUGUGUGCCCUUCACUGCUUAAUGCAAUGUUUACUGUGUGCGCAGUAAAAGUAAAUGUUAGCGUAUAUCGUGCAUCUAUUUUAAGCAUGUGCAAUUAUAGGCUGCUAAAAUGAUCCUAUUUAGCCAGUGACAGAGCUAGAAAAUUUCACAUGAGAGAGAAAGGAGACAGGCUGGAAUUCUCAAUCUCUCAAGGAGUUAACAAAACAUAAAAGAAACCCUUUGAAAUUUUUAUUUUGUCAUCUUUUCUCCAAAGGAAGAAAGACAAUUUUAAGUAUAAGCUCACUGAGAAAGAUGUUCUACAAAAUAAGAGAGAAAUUAAUAAAGAGAACAAUUAAAAAAACACCUAAAUGAUCAUAAUGGAAUGAUUUUAGCUGUCACUUUUAUGAGUGUUUACAUUGUUGUUAUCUUAUACUAUUGCUUUUCAUGCUGUUUGCAAAGUACACCAAAGGAAGUUGUAUUUCAGUUUUGUUGUACCCUGUAUAGAUUAUUCUAUUCGAUUCUGUUCUAUUAAAUUCUAUUCAAUAUUUCUGCAGUGGAAUUUAUACAGAAAAUAACUAUAUCAGGAGGUGCAGUUGCAUAGGCUGGAUUCCCUGACUUUGUAGCUUCCUUUUCUGCAUCAAUUCCACUUAUGCUAAGAUAGUUUUCCUCAUCUUCAGUCAUCGCUACAGCUGUUACAGUCUCGUUAUAACUCUUCUUUCCUCAUAUCUCACAGUCCUUUUUCUUUAUUGUAAUACCUCAUUUUUUGUGACAGAAAGUAGAAAUGUCAUAACUUAAAUUUCAUUUUCAUUUUGAUAGGCAAGCAUCAAGAUUUUAGAAAAUUAGCACUU
Molecule: RNA transcript, 2958 nt
Organism: Cyprinodon tularosa
Lineage: Eukaryota; Metazoa; Chordata; Actinopteri; Cyprinodontiformes; Cyprinodontidae
Gene: lnp1
Gene name: leukemia NUP98 fusion partner 1
Exons: 5
Source: RefSeq, a predicted model, not a curated record